Molecule: long non-coding RNA, 730 nt
Filed under: Arabidopsis thaliana (thale cress)
Lineage: Eukaryota; Viridiplantae; Streptophyta; Magnoliopsida; Brassicales; Brassicaceae
Description: partial TCONS_00010478
Source: RNAcentral
CUUUUUGCUUAUAAAUACUGUCUAGGUUGCUACAGAUGACGGUUAUCUCUUCUUUCAUGAGAAAUCAAAAACUUCUGUACGCUCCUUCUUCUUCUUCCACACGGAAAAAAAAAAAAUCCUAUCUUUUUCAAGUUCUCUGUUUUUAUAGUGAGGAUCGCCGAUGGUCCCUUUGAUAUUGAAGUAAGCCGAUGAUCUCAAUAACUUCAUUCUUCAUCUCAAUAUCUAUUCGUUAGAUUUGAUCGGAGGAAAGCAUCUGAUUUCGUGAUUGAUCUCCAUAAUCUGUCUCACGCAUCUCUUCUUUCAUGAGAAAUCAAAAAAUCUCCACGCUCCUCCUUCUUCCAAACAGAAAAAACCCUAACUUUUCCAAAUUCUAUGUUCUUAUAGAGAGGAUCGCCGAUGGUCCUUUCCGAUAUUGAGUUAAUCGAGAACGAUUUUUAGGUCGGAUCUUUGAAUUAAUUUCACCUUGUUAUUGGUAAUUCGUUACGAUUGAGAGAGGGACCGUGAAAGCGACGGACGAGCAUCAGUUGACGAUGUAGAAGAUGCAGAAAAAACUCAUCGAGUUUCUUCGUCGACAAACGGGAGCAGAGAACGGCUGACGACUCGCAUUAAUGGGCCUUGUCAAUGGGCUUUACUGUGAGGUUGAAGAAGAUCCAAUACUCAUCGAGUUUCUUCGUCGACUAACGGGGCAGAGAACGGCUCAAGGCUUAAGUUUCGACUGUAACAAAAGUAC